UUCGCAAUGCCCGAAAGGGUGACGAAGCGACGCCGCGUGCGGGAAGAAGGCCUUCGGGUUGUAAACCACUGUUGGGAGUUAGGAAGUGUGGAGGUGUUAAUAGCGCUUUCACUUGACUAAAGCUCCAGAGGAAGCCACGGCUAACUCUGUGCCAGCAGCAGCGGUAAUACAGAGGCGGCAAGCGUUGUUCGGAAUUAUUGGGCGUAAAGAGCACGUAGGCGGCUCUGCAAGUCAGCUGUGAAAGCCUUCUGCUUAACGGAAGAACGGCAGUUGAAACUACAGGGCUUGAGUGCGGGAGGGGAGAGUGGAACUUCUGGUGGAGCGGUGAAAUGCGUAGAUAUCAGAAGGAACGCCGGCGGCGAAAGCGGCUCUCUGGUCCGUAACUGACGCUGAGUGUGCGAAAGCUAGGGGAGCAAACGGGAUUAGAUACCCCGGUAGUCCUAGCCGUAAACGAUGGGCACUAAGUAGAGGGGUUUU
RNAcentral lists this ribosomal RNA (477 nucleotides) under uncultured bacterium. Its description in RNAcentral is "bacterial SSU rRNA". It matches the Rfam family "Bacterial small subunit ribosomal RNA", at positions 365 to 832 of the family's 1533-position model. The record is from RNAcentral.